CCCUCCCUCCACCCUUGCCCUGGCCUGUUACCCCACCUCCCCCAGCAAAGAUCCCAAAGCACAAUCUCCUGAUAACUUGGCAAGCAGCCGAGCCUGUCCAUGGUCAGGACAGGCUGCGCCCCUGCCCAGGCUGAGUAAGGGGCCAGCUCCAUGGGACUGAGAAUCUUGUAGAGUGGGCAGCGGAGCCCAUUGGUUCCAAGCACCUCAGGAGGUGGCCCUGACUCCCCGGGCUUGGGGUAAGAGAAGUAUAUAGCCAGGGGUGCAGGGGAGAAAACUACUCACUAGGAGAGCCAAAGACAGGGUUGUGCCUUACCUCAGGAGCCACCCCUGCGCCCCUCCUCUGGCGGUCAGCUGCUUGCCUUGCCCUCCUGAGAGCUGCAUGGCCCCUACCCCAAGCACCCAGGAGAGUGAAAAAGUGACCCACUUAGCAGGAAAGACAAGUAGGGGCAAACCCAGUGGCUACCCUCCCUCCCACCCAUCCAUGCCUCUCAUGGGGACAGGCCAUCACCCACUGGCCCAUGUGAAGUGCCAAUGCCCUCCCCACCCAGAGCCAAGCCCCCACCCUUCCCAGGCCCACAAGUGAGAUUGCAUAUUAACUACUGUACGGAGAGGAGCGGUGUUGGGAAAUGUGAACCCUGAGAGUCAGUGAUGCUGAUAAGAAUAAACAAGACGCCUUUGUAACAGCC
Molecule: long non-coding RNA, 686 nt
Filed under: Rattus norvegicus (Norway rat)
Lineage: Eukaryota; Metazoa; Chordata; Mammalia; Rodentia; Muridae
Description: long non-coding RNA NONRATT014565
Source: RNAcentral